CUGGUGGGCGGGGACAAGCCUCUGGUGCUGCACCAAGACAGUAGCAUCUUGGAGUCAAGGGACCUGCGCCUAGAAAAGCGCACCUUGUUUCGGCUGGAUCUUGUUCCGAUUAACCGGUCAGUGGGACUCAAGGCCAAGCCCACCAAGCCCGUCACGGAGGUGCUGCGGCCCGUGGUGGCCAAAUACGGCCUGGACCUCAGUGGCCUGCUGGUGAGGCUGUGCCGAUCUCUGCCCUAGAGUGGAGAGAAGGAGCCCCUGGACCUUGGCGCCCCUAUAUCGAGUCUGGACGGACAGCGGGUUGUCUUGGAGGAGAAGGAUCCUUCCAGAGGAAAGGCAUCCGCAGAUAAACAGAAAGGUGUGCCAGUGAAACAGAACACAGCUGUAAAU
This 387-nucleotide small RNA is filed under the name Pan troglodytes (chimpanzee). Its description in RNAcentral is "processed transcript". The record is from RNAcentral. Lineage: Eukaryota; Metazoa; Chordata; Mammalia; Primates; Hominidae.